RNAcentral lists this small RNA (477 nucleotides) under uncultured Glomus. RNAcentral describes it as "SSU rRNA". It matches the Rfam family "Eukaryotic small subunit ribosomal RNA", at positions 569 to 1049 of the family's 1831-position model. Lineage: Eukaryota; Fungi; Glomeromycota; Glomeromycetes; Glomerales; Glomeraceae. The record is from RNAcentral.
AGCAGCCGCGGUAAUUCCAGCUCCAAUAGCGUAUAUUAAAGUUGUUGCAGUUAAAAAGCUCGUAGUUGAAUUUCGGAAUCAGUACGCUGGUCGUGCCUUCGGUAUGUACUGGUGUCACUGAUUCCUCCCUUCUGAAGAACCAUCAUGCCAUUCACUUGGUGUGGUGGGGAAUCAGGACUGUCACUUUGAAAAAAUUAGAGUGUUUAAAGCAGGCUAACGCUUGAAUACAUUAGCAUGAAAUAAUGAAAUAGGACAUUCGAUCUUAUUUUGUUGGUUUCUAGGAUUGACGUAAUGAUUAAUAGGGAUAGUUGGGGGCAUUAGUAUUCAAUUGUCAGAGGUGAAAUUCUUGGAUUUAUUGAAGACUAACUAACUGCGAAAGCAUUUGCCAAGGAUGUUUUCAUUAAUCAGGAACGAAAGUUAGGGGAUCGAAGACGAUCAGAUACCGUCGUAGUCUUAACCAUAAACUAUGCCGACUAG